RNAcentral lists this ribosomal RNA (292 nucleotides) under uncultured bacterium. RNAcentral describes it as "partial 16S ribosomal RNA". It matches the Rfam family "Bacterial small subunit ribosomal RNA", at positions 505 to 796 of the family's 1533-position model. The record is from RNAcentral.
GUGUCAGCAGCCGCGGUAAUACGGAGGGUGCAAGCGUUAUCCGGAUUUAUUGGGUUUAAAGGGAGCGUAGGCGGGAUAGUAAGUCAGUGGUGAAAUCUUCCGGCUCAACCGGGAAACUGCCAUUGAUACUGCUAACCUAGAGUACAUUUGAAGUGGGCGGAAUGUGUCAUGUAGCGGUGAAAUGCUUAGAUAUGACACAGAACACCAAUUGCGUAGGCAGCUCACUAAACUGUAACUGACGCUGAGGCUCGAAAGCGUGGGGAUCAAACAGGAUUAGAUACCCUGGUAGUCC